Long non-coding RNA from Nicotiana attenuata, 485 nucleotides. RefSeq lists it as uncharacterized. The transcript is spliced from 4 exons. Lineage: Eukaryota; Viridiplantae; Streptophyta; Magnoliopsida; Solanales; Solanaceae. The record is from RefSeq and is a predicted model, not a curated record.
AACUGCAAUUUCUUCAACAGGCGGCUUUACAACUUCUCACACCAAAAUUCAGUUUCCAUGGAAGAAGAGAAGAAACUGGCAAGAAAAAAUAGAAUAUGCAUACGGAAGCAAAAACGGCCUAAACACUCCUCGGCUAAUAAUGUCUCCAUACACAUAUCAAAAUCACGAUCCACUUCUGCCGUUGGAAAGAGGACUUCUACAAUUGCAAUAUAAAAAAAUUCAGGAACGUCGAAACUACGAUCCGCUUGUGCCAUUCGAAGGAGGACUUAUGGAACUACAAUAUAUAAAUAUUAAGGCAUAUCAAAACCACAAUCCGCUUUUGCCGUUCGAAAGAGAAUUCUAGCACUACAAUAUAUACAACAAUUAGGCCAGAUCCUUCGUAGAUUUGUCUUAUUUCUUCGAUAAUAUCCAUAUUUCUUCAUGUGGAAUGUUUUGUAUUUACUGUGAGUGAACUAAUUAAACUUUAGCAGUAUCACGACGGUUCA